RNAcentral lists this transfer RNA (65 nucleotides) under Megabeleses sp. RNAcentral describes it as "tRNA-His". Lineage: Eukaryota; Metazoa; Arthropoda; Insecta; Hymenoptera; Tenthredinidae. The record is from RNAcentral.
AUUUAAGUAGUUUAAUUAAAAUAUUGAUUUGUGGUGUCAAUGAUAUAAAAUAUUUGUCUUAAAUA